GGAUUUUUAAGUGAGGUGUGAAAGCCCCGGGCUUAACCUGGGAAUAGCAUUUCAGACUGGGAAUCUAGAGUACUUUAGGGAGGGGUAGAAUUCCACGUGUAGCGGUGAAAUGCGUAGAGAUGUGGAGGAAUACCGAAGGCGAAGGCAGCCCCUUGGGAAUGUACUGACGCUCAUGUGCGAAAGCGUGGGGAGCAAACAGGAUUAGAUACCCUGGUAGUCCACGCUGUAAACGCUGUCGAUUUGGGGGUUGGGCUUUAAGCUUGGCGCCCGUAGCUAACGUGAUAAAUCGACCGCCUGGGGAGUACGGCCGCAAGGUUAAAACUCAAAUGAAUUGACGGGGGCCCGCACAAGCGGUGGAGCAUGUGGUUUAAUUCGAUGCAACGCGAAGAACCUUACCUACUCUUGACAUCCAGAGAAGAGACUAGAGAUAGUUUNGUGCCUUAGGGAACUNNGAGACAGGUGCUGCAUGGCUGUCGUCAGCUCGUGUUGUGAAAUGUUGGGUUAAGUCCCGCAACGAGCG
RNAcentral lists this ribosomal RNA (520 nucleotides) under Rodentibacter pneumotropicus. RNAcentral describes it as "bacterial SSU rRNA". It matches the Rfam family "Bacterial small subunit ribosomal RNA", at positions 577 to 1098 of the family's 1533-position model. Lineage: Bacteria; Pseudomonadati; Pseudomonadota; Gammaproteobacteria; Pasteurellales; Pasteurellaceae. The record is from RNAcentral.